AUAUGUUCUUGGCCUUUUGGCUAAGAUCAAGUGUAGCAUAUGUUCUUAUCAGUUUAAUAUCUGAUACGUGAGGCAAUGACUCACUUGAUAUUAAAUUAAUUUCUUUAAGGGGAGAGUCUGUUACAGUAGCUUGUUGUUAGGGCUCUCAAGUCGCCUUUGCAUUGUACUAUUGCAUUGGCCUGGCACACCCUCA
Molecule: small nuclear RNA, 193 nt
Organism: Malus domestica (apple)
Lineage: Eukaryota; Viridiplantae; Streptophyta; Magnoliopsida; Rosales; Rosaceae
Product: U2 spliceosomal RNA
Source: RefSeq, a predicted model, not a curated record